This 301-nucleotide ribosomal RNA is filed under the name uncultured bacterium. RNAcentral's name for it is "partial 16S ribosomal RNA". It matches the Rfam family "Bacterial small subunit ribosomal RNA", at positions 509 to 807 of the family's 1533-position model. The record is from RNAcentral.
CAGUCGCCGCGGGAAUACGGAGGGUGCAAGCGUUAAUCGGAAUUACUGGGCGUAAAGCGCACGCAGGCGGUCUGUCAAGUCGGAUGUGAAAUCCCCGGGCUCAACCUGGGAACUGCAUUCGAAACUGGCAGGCUAGAGUCUUGUAGAGGGGGGUAGAAUUCCAGGUGUAGCGGUGAAAUGCGUAGAGAUCUGGAGGAAUACCGGUGGCGAAGGCGGCCCCCUGGACAAAGACUGACGCUCAGGUGCGAAAGCGUGGGGAGCAAACAGGAUUAGAUACACCGGUAGUCCCUGUCUCUUAUAC